CAGUAGCCGCGGUAAUACGAAGGGUGCAAGCGUUAAUCAGAAUUACUGGGCGUAAAGCGUGCGUAGGUGGUGGUUUAAGUCCGUUGUGAAAGCCCUGGGCUCAACCUGGGAAUUGCAGUGGAUACUGGGUCACUAGAGUGUGGUAGAGGAUAGUGGAAUUUCCGGUGUAGCAGUGAAAUGCGUAGAGAUCGGAAGGAACAUCUGUGGCGAAGGCGACUAUCUGGGCCAACACUGACACUGAGGCACGAAAGCGUGGGGAGCAAACAGGAUUAGAUACCCCUGUAGUCCCUGUCUCUUAUAC
This 301-nucleotide ribosomal RNA is filed under the name uncultured bacterium. RNAcentral describes it as "partial 16S ribosomal RNA". It matches the Rfam family "Bacterial small subunit ribosomal RNA", at positions 509 to 807 of the family's 1533-position model. The record is from RNAcentral.